This 492-nucleotide ribosomal RNA is filed under the name uncultured bacterium. RNAcentral's name for it is "partial 16S ribosomal RNA". It matches the Rfam family "Bacterial small subunit ribosomal RNA", at positions 29 to 507 of the family's 1533-position model. The record is from RNAcentral.
AGUGAACGCUGGCGGUAGGCCUAACACAUGCAAGUCGAACGGCAGCACAGUAAGAGCUUGCUCUUACGGGUGGCGAGUGGCGGACGGGUGAGGAAUACAUCGGAAUCUACUUUUUCGUGGGGGAUAACGUAGGGAAACUUACGCUAAUACCGCAUACGACCUACGGGUGAAAGCAGGGGAUCUUCGGACCUUGCGCGAUUGAAUGAGCCGAUGUCGGAUUAGCUAGUUGGCGGGGUAAAGGCCCACCAAGGCGACGAUCCGUAGCUGGUCUGAGAGGAUGAUCAGACACACUGGAACUGAGACACGGUCCAGACUCCUACGGGAGGCAGCAGUGGAGAAUAUUGGACAAUGGGCGCAAGCCUGAUCCAGCCAUACCGCGUGGGUGAAGAAGGCCUUCGGGUUGUAAAGCCCUUUUGUUGGGAAAGAAAAGCAGCAGGUUAAUACCCCGCUGUUCUGACGGUACCCAAAGAAUAAGCACCGGCUAACUUCGUG